UACGGGGGGAGCAAGCGUUGUUCGGAUUUACUGGGCGUAAAGGGCGCGUAGGCGGCGCAACAAGUCACUUGUGAAAUCUCCGGGCUUAACCCGGAGCGGCCAAGUGAUACUGUCGUGCUAGAGUGCGGAAGGGGCUACUGGAAUUCUCGGUGUAGCGGUGAAAUGCGUAGAUAUCGAGAGGAACACCUGCGGCGAAGGCGGGUAGCUGGGCCGACACUGACGCUGAAGCGCGAAAGCCAGGGGAGCGAACGGG
Molecule: ribosomal RNA, 253 nt
Filed under: uncultured bacterium
Lineage: Bacteria
Description: partial 16S ribosomal RNA
Rfam family: Bacterial small subunit ribosomal RNA
Source: RNAcentral